This 1524-nucleotide ribosomal RNA is filed under the name Escherichia coli. RNAcentral's name for it is "partial 23S ribosomal RNA". It matches the Rfam family "Bacterial large subunit ribosomal RNA", at positions 361 to 1874 of the family's 2925-position model. Lineage: Bacteria; Pseudomonadati; Pseudomonadota; Gammaproteobacteria; Enterobacterales; Enterobacteriaceae. The record is from RNAcentral.
AGGGUGACAGCCCCGUACACAAAAAUGCACAUGCUGUGAGCUCGAUGAGUAGGGCGGGACACGUGGUAUCCUGUCUGAAUAUGGGGGGACCAUCCUCCAAGGCUAAAUACUCCUGACUGACCGAUAGUGAACCAGUACCGUGAGGGAAAGGCGAAAAGAACCCCGGCGAGGGGAGUGAAAAAGAACCUGAAACCGUGUACGUACAAGCAGUGGGAGCACGCUUCGGCGUGUGACUGCGUACCUUUUGUAUAAUGGGUCAGCGACUUAUAUUCUGUAGCAAGGUUAACCGAAUAGGGGAGCCGAAGGGAAACCGAGUCUUAACUGGGCGUUAAGUUGCAGGGUAUAGACCCGAAACCCGGUGAUCUAGCCAUGGGCAGGUUGAAGGUUGGGUAACACUAACUGGAGGACCGAACCGACUAAUGUUGAAAAAUUAGCGGAUGACUUGUGGCUGGGGGUGAAAGGCCAAUCAAACCGGGAGAUAGCUGGUUCUCCCCGAAAGCUAUUUAGGUAGCGCCUCGUGAAUUCAUCUCCGGGGGUAGAGCACUGUUUCGGCAAGGGGGUCAUCCCGACUUACCAACCCGAUGCAAACUGCGAAUACCGGAGAAUGUUAUCACGGGAGACACACGGCGGGUGCUAACGUCCGUCGUGAAGAGGGAAACAACCCAGACCGCCAGCUAAGGUCCCAAAGUCAUGGUUAAGUGGGAAACGAUGUGGGAAGGCCCAGACAGCCAGGAUGUUGGCUUAGAAGCAGCCAUCAUUUAAAGAAAGCGUAAUAGCUCACUGGUCGAGUCGGCCUGCGCGGAAGAUGUAACGGGGCUAAACCAUGCACCGAAGCUGCGGCAGCGACACUAUGUGUUGUUGGGUAGGGGAGCGUUCUGUAAGCCUGUGAAGGUGUACUGUGAGGUAUGCUGGAGGUAUCAGAAGUGCGAAUGCUGACAUAAGUAACGAUAAAGCGGGUGAAAAGCCCGCUCGCCGGAAGACCAAGGGUUCCUGUCCAACGUUAAUCGGGGCAGGGUGAGUCGACCCCUAAGGCGAGGCCGAAAGGCGUAGUCGAUGGGAAACAGGUUAAUAUUCCUGUACUUGGUGUUACUGCGAAGGGGGGACGGAGAAGGCUAUGUUGGCCGGGCGACGGUUGUCCCGGUUUAAGCGUGUAGGCUGGUUUUCCAGGCAAAUCCGGAAAAUCAAGGCUGAGGCGUGAUGACGAGGCACUACGGUGCUGAAGCAACAAAUGCCCUGCUUCCAGGAAAAGCCUCUAAGCAUCAGGUAACAUCAAAUCGUACCCCAAACCGACACAGGUGGUCAGGUAGAGAAUACCAAGGCGCUUGAGAGAACUCGGGUGAAGGAACUAGGCAAAAUGGUGCCGUAACUUCGGGAGAAGGCACGCUGAUAUGUAGGUGAAGCGACUUGCUCGUGGAGCUGAAAUCAGUCGAAGAUACCAGCUGGCUGCAACUGUUUAUUAAAAACACAGCACUGUGCAAACACGAAAGUGGACGUAUACGGUGUGACGCCUGCCCGGUGCCGGAA